UUUAAGGGUCCAAUUGUGUGUGUUUAAAGUUCUUAAACUGAUCUGAGGCCUGUACUACGAAGUGAGUUCAACAUACCUAGGGUAUCUUCUCGUUAUCUGGUUUAACUAACCCUAACGACCGAGAUCACGCUAAACGGUCCUACCACGCUGGUUAU
Molecule: long non-coding RNA, 155 nt
Organism: Sebastes umbrosus (honeycomb rockfish)
Lineage: Eukaryota; Metazoa; Chordata; Actinopteri; Perciformes; Sebastidae
Exons: 4
Source: RefSeq, a predicted model, not a curated record